AUGCCCCACCCUCCUCAGAAGGUGACCCAGUGGUCCAGCCAGCUCCCACAACACUCAAAGAUGUCUGGCUUUCCUCCACAAUCGCCUCAGCAAGUCAAAUUACCCUUCUACCUUUCCCACCAUCCCAUGCACUCUGAGGGAGCUGCCUACCAGCCCCCACACCCCCAGGUACCCAGCUACUCGUCCCAACAGCCCCAAAGCCCAGAAUUGCCCAGCUACCCACCACAGGAACACCACCAUCCUGAUUGGCAGCCUCAGAAGAUGCAACACCCUCAGUCUCCCGACUCACCCCCACAGCAGCCCAAGUUACCCGGCCAUCCACAUCAGCAGCCCCCCAAAAUACCGAUCUACCCUUCUCCCCAACCAAAGUUACCCAGCUACCUUCCUGAGCAGCAGCAGCAGCAGCAGCAGCAGCAGCAGCGGCACCCCAAACCUCCUGCUUUUCUGCCACAGAUGCCUCAAGAGCGGCAUCCUUCUGAGGAGUCGGGCUUCCCCACCCAGCACCACAGCUCGCCUAGUUACCCUCAACUGCCCCAGGAGUCACAGCAGCAGCAUGCCCCCAGUUACUCCACACAGCACUCUGGAAUGCCUUACCUGCCACCCAUGCACCACCAACCACAGAUGAGCGGCUACGUGCCGCAGCAUCAUGGCAUAAACAGCUACCCGCCUCAGCACAAGCUGCCCGGCUACCCCCCCCAGGAGCCGAGGCACAAAGACUUUUCCAGUUAUCCAAACCAGCAACUGCAGAGGCCUGAAGCAAGCGCUGACCUGCCACAUCAGCCCUGGCAAAAGCCCCCGUCUGAAGCAUUUCCCCCACCUCAACAGUCUCAGGCCCAAAGUUAUCCAUCUGUGGGUCUACAGCAACCCAAACAGCCGCAAGGGCCCCGCCUCCCAAACCAGAAACGGCAAGCGCCACGCUACAUUCCAAAGAGGGUCCCGCAUCAUAGCUUCAUGCCCCAGCGGCCUCACGUACCGUCUUACCACGCAAAGCGGCCGCACUACCCAAACAGCUGGCCGCAGAGAGGACACUGA
Molecule: long non-coding RNA, 1032 nt
Filed under: Oryzias sinensis (Chinese medaka)
Lineage: Eukaryota; Metazoa; Chordata; Actinopteri; Beloniformes; Adrianichthyidae
Description: lncRNA (ENSOSIG00000011617.1)
Source: RNAcentral